Molecule: ribosomal RNA, 268 nt
Filed under: uncultured bacterium
Lineage: Bacteria
Description: partial 16S ribosomal RNA
Rfam family: Bacterial small subunit ribosomal RNA
Source: RNAcentral
UGUUUAACAAAGAGAAGCAAAGCCGCGAGGUAGAGCAAAUCUCAAAAAAACAAUCUCAGUUCAGACUGCAGGCUGCAACUCGCCUGCACGAAGUCGGAAUUGCUAGUAAUCGUAGGUCAGCAUACUACGGUGAAUACGUUCCCGGGCCUUGUACACACCGCCCGUCAAACCAUGAGAGUUGGCAACACCCGAAGUCGGUAGUCUAACCGCAAGGAGGACGCCGCCGAAGGUGGGGUUGAUGAUUAGGGUUAAGUCGUAACAAGGUACC